Molecule: ribosomal RNA, 399 nt
Filed under: uncultured Acaryochloris sp.
Lineage: Bacteria; Bacillati; Cyanobacteriota; Cyanophyceae; Acaryochloridales; Acaryochloridaceae
Description: bacterial SSU rRNA
Rfam family: Bacterial small subunit ribosomal RNA
Source: RNAcentral
GGGGAAUUUUCCGCAAUGGGCGAAAGCCUGACGGAGCAAUACCGCGUGCGGGAGGAAGGCCCUUGGGUCGUAAACCGCUUUUAACAGGGAAGAAGAUCUGACGGUACCUGUUGAAUAAGCCUCGGCUAACUCCGUGCCAGCAGCCGCGGUAAGACGGAGGAGGCAAGCGUUAUCCGGAAUUAUUGGGCGUAAAGCGUCCGCAGGUGGCCUAUCAAGUCUGUUGUUAAAGCCCAGGGCUCAACUCUGGAUCAGCAAUGGAAACUGAAAGGCUAGAGUACGGUAGGGGUAGAGGGAAUUCCCAGUGUAGCGGUGAAAUGCGUAGAUAUUGGGAAGAACACCAGUGGCGAAGGCGCUCUGCUGGGCCGUAACUGACACUCAUGGACGAAAGCUAGGGGAGCG